Molecule: ribosomal RNA, 1072 nt
Filed under: Salmonella enterica
Lineage: Bacteria; Pseudomonadati; Pseudomonadota; Gammaproteobacteria; Enterobacterales; Enterobacteriaceae
Description: bacterial SSU rRNA
Rfam family: Bacterial small subunit ribosomal RNA
Source: RNAcentral
AAAUUGAAGAGUUUGAUCAUGGCUCAGAUUGAACGCUGGCGGCAGGCCUAACACAUGCAAGUCGAACGGUAACAGGAAGCAGCUUGCUGCUUUGCUGACGAGUGGCGGACGGGUGAGUAAUGUCUGGGAAACUGCCUGAUGGAGGGGGAUAACUACUGGAAACGGUGGCUAAUACCGCAUAACGUCGCAAGACCAAAGAGGGGGACCUUCGGGCCUCUUGCCAUCAGAUGUGCCCAGAUGGGAUUAGCUUGUUGGUGAGGUAACGGCUCACCAAGGCGACGAUCCCUAGCUGGUCUGAGAGGAUGACCAGCCACACUGGAACUGAGACACGGUCCAGACUCCUACGGGAGGCAGCAGUGGGGAAUAUUGCACAAUGGGCGCAAGCCUGAUGCAGCCAUGCCGCGUGUAUGAAGAAGGCCUUCGGGUUGUAAAGUACUUUCAGCGGGGAGGAAGGUGUUGUGGUUAAUAACCGCAGCAAUUGACGUUACCCGCAGAAGAAGCACCGGCUAACUCCGUGCCAGCAGCCGCGGUAAUACGGAGGGUGCAAGCGUUAAUCGGAAUUACUGGGCGUAAAGCGCACGCAGGCGGUCUGUCAAGUCGGAUGUGAAAUCCCCGGGCUCAACCUGGGAACUGCAUUCGAAACUGGCAGGCUUGAGUCUUGUAGAGGGGGGUAGAAUUCCAGGUGUAGCGGUGAAAUGCGUAGAGAUCUGGAGGAAUACCGGUGGCGAAGGCGGCCCCCUGGACAAAGACUGACGCUCAGGUGCGAAAGCGUGGGGAGCAAACAGGAUUAGAUACCCUGGUAGUCCACGCCGUAAACGAUGUCUACUUGGAGGUUGUGCCCUUGAGGCGUGGCUUCCGGAGCUAACGCGUUAAGUAGACCGCCUGGGGAGUACGGCCGCAAGGUUAAAACUCAAAUGAAUUGACGGGGGCCCGCACAAGCGGUGGAGCAUGUGGUUUAAUUCGAUGCAACGCGAAGAACCUUACCUGGUCUUGACAUCCACAGAACUUUCCAGAGAUGGACUGGUGCCUUCGGGAACUGUGAGACAGGUGCUGCAUGGCUGUCGUCAGCUCG